GAUGAAGAACGUAGCGAAAUGCGAUAAGUAAUGUGAAUUGCAGAAUUCAGUGAAUCAUCGAAUCUUUGAACGCACAUUGCGCCCCCUGGUAUUCCGGGGGGCAUGCCUGUCCGAGCGUCAUUACAACCCUCAAGCUCAGCUUGGUAUUGGGCCCCGCCGACCCGGCGGGCCCUAAAGUCAGUGGCGGUGCCGUCCGGCUCCGAGCGUAGUAAUUCUUCUCGCUCUGGAGGUCCGGUCGUGUGCUCGCCAGCAACCCCCAAUUUUUUUCAGGUUGACCUCGGAUCAGGUAGGGAUACCCGCUGAACUUAAGCAUAUCAAUAAGCGGGGA
Molecule: unclassified non-coding RNA, 328 nt
Filed under: soil metagenome
Description: partial contains 5.8S ribosomal RNA, internal transcribed spacer 2, and large subunit ribosomal RNA
Rfam family: 5.8S ribosomal RNA (bases 1-120)
Source: RNAcentral